RNAcentral lists this transfer-messenger RNA (267 nucleotides) under Acidobacteriota bacterium. RNAcentral describes it as "Acidobacteria bacterium transfer-messenger RNA". It matches the Rfam family "transfer-messenger RNA", at positions 10 to 309 of the family's 374-position model. From Rfam's summary of the family: Bacterial tmRNA, also known as 10Sa RNA or SsrA, is named for its dual tRNA and mRNA-like properties. Its role is to liberate the mRNA from a stalled ribosome. The record is from RNAcentral. Lineage: Bacteria; Pseudomonadati; Acidobacteriota.
CACGGCUUCGACGGAAAUGCGUGAGGUAAAGAGGCAUACCGGGGUGCACACACCCGUAAUCGCGUGCAAAAACAUAGUUGCCAAUCAACAGAUGGCAUACGCUGCUUAAUUAAUUAAGUAGCCGCUCUCUUCCGCUUUGUCCGUGGGCGGGAGCAGGGCGUCGCACAGCGGACUGGCUUUUGCCGCGUGUCUGGGUGGCGAAGGCGAGACUUACAGGUGCCUUUGUAGGGCAAGAACAUUUUUAUCUUCAGCGGUUUGAGCGCGGCU